RNAcentral lists this ribosomal RNA (1377 nucleotides) under metagenome. RNAcentral's name for it is "bacterial LSU rRNA". It matches the Rfam family "Bacterial large subunit ribosomal RNA", at positions 1112 to 2469 of the family's 2925-position model. The record is from RNAcentral.
GCAGCCAUCCUUUAAAGAAAGCGUAAUAGCUCACUGGUCGAGUCGUCUUGCGCGGAAGAUUUAUCGGGGCUAAACUGUACACCGAAGCUGCGGGAUUGAUCUUAGGAUCAAUCGGUAGAGGAGCGUUCUGUAAGUCUGUGAAGGUGAACCGUGAGGUUUGCUGGAGAUAUCAGAAGUGCGAAUGCUGACAUGAGUAACGUGAAUACGGGUGAAAACCCCGUACGCCGAAAGUCCAAGGUUUCCUUGCGCAACGUUAAUCGGCGCAGGGUUAGUCGGCCCCUAAGGCGAGGCAGAAAUGCGUAGUCGAUGGGAAACAGGUUAAUAUUCCUGUACUUUUUGUUACUGCGAUGGGAUGACGGAGAAGGCUAGGUCAGCCGGAUAAUGGAUUCCGGUUUAAGCUUGUAGGUAGGGUGUUUAGGAAAAUCCGGACACCUAUUACUGAGGAGUGAUGACGGUCGUUGCGAGCUUGCUCAAUACGAGAAGUGAUUGAUGCCACGCUUCCUGGAAAAGUCUCUAAGCUUCAGGUAACAAAGAACCGUACCCCAAACCGACACUGGUGGACAAGUAGAGAAUACUAAGGCGUUGAGAUAACUUGGGUGAAGGAACUCGGCAAAAUGAUACCGUAACUUCGGGAGAAGGUAUGCCCCUGAUGGUGAUGAGACUUGCUCUCUAAGCUGCUGGGGGUCGCAGAGAAUAGGUAGCUGAGACUGUUUAUCAAAAACAUAGCACUCUGCAAACACGUAAGUGGACGUAUAGGGUGUGACACCUGCCCGGUGCCGGAAGGUUAAUUGAUGUGGUUAGCUUAGGCGAAGCCAUUGAUCGAAGCCCCGGUGAACGGCGGCCGUAACAAUAACGGUCCUAAGGUAGCGAAAUUCCUUGUCGGGUAAGUUCCGACCCGCAUGAAUGGUGNAACAAUGGCUACGCUGUCUCCACCCAAGACUCAGUGAAAUUGAAAUCGCUGUGAAGAUGCAGUGUACCCGCGGCUAGACGAGAAGACCCCGUGCACCUUUACUACAGCUUUACACUGAACUUUGCUCCUACUUGUGUAGGAUAGGUGGGAGGCUUUGAAGCAAGAACGCCAGUUUUUGUGGAGCCAUCCUUGAAAUACCACCCUGGUAUGAGUGAGGUUCUAACCUAGGCCCGUAAUCCGGGCUGGAGACAGUGUAUGGUGGGUAGUUUGACUGGGGCGGUCUCCUCCCAAAGAGUAACGGAGGAGCACAAAGGUACCCUCAGCACGGUCGGAAAUCGUGCAUUGAGUGCAAAGAUACAAGGGUGCUUGACUGUAAGACUGACAAGUCGAACAGGUAGGAAACUAGGUCUUAGUGAUCCGGUGGUUCUGUAUGGAAGGGCCAUCGCUCAACGGAUAAAAGGUACGCC